GGGGUUGUGGCUCAGUGGUAGAGCACUUGCCUAGCAUGUGUGAGGUUCUGGGUUUAAUCCUCAGCACCA
Molecule: transfer RNA, 69 nt
Filed under: Ictidomys tridecemlineatus (thirteen-lined ground squirrel)
Lineage: Eukaryota; Metazoa; Chordata; Mammalia; Rodentia; Sciuridae
Also listed under: 1 other name
Description: Spermophilus tridecemlineatus (thirteen-lined ground squirrel) tRNA
Rfam family: tRNA
About the family: Transfer RNA (tRNA) molecules are approximately 80 nucleotides in length. Their secondary structure includes four short double-helical elements and three loops (D, anti-codon, and T loops). Further hydrogen bonds mediate the characteristic L-shaped molecular structure. tRNAs have two regions of fundamental functional importance: the anti-codon, which is responsible for specific mRNA codon recognition, and the 3' end, to which the tRNAs corresponding amino acid is attached (by aminoacyl-tRNA synthetases). tRNAs cope with the degeneracy of the genetic code in two manners: having more than one tRNA (with a specific anti-codon) for a particular amino acid; and 'wobble' base-pairing, i.e. permitting non-standard base-pairing at the 3rd anti-codon position.
Source: Rfam by way of RNAcentral